AAUUGGAUAGUCGCGUAUAGCAAGGUCGAAAGGCAGCGUACGAGGAAAGUCCGGACUCCAUAGAGUAAGGAUGCUGGAUAACGUCCAGUGAGGGUAACCUUAAGGAAAGUGCAACAGAAAAUAACCGCCUAGAAUUUUAGGUAAGGAUGAAAAGGCAGGGUAAGAGCCUACCGCUGGUAUGGUGACAUACUAGGCAGUGUAAACCCCAUCUGGAGCAACACCGAAAGCAGAAGGCUAAGACUACUCGUCAUCUUCUAAUUUGGUGGCACGAAAUUUAUAGUAAUAUAAAUUCUAGAUAAAUGACUAUCUUAGACAGAACCCGGCUUAUAGAUUUACUA
Molecule: RNase P RNA, 338 nt
Filed under: human gut metagenome
Description: Bacterial RNase P class A
Rfam family: Bacterial RNase P class A
About the family: Ribonuclease P (RNase P) is a ubiquitous endoribonuclease, found in archaea, bacteria and eukarya as well as chloroplasts and mitochondria. Its best characterised activity is the generation of mature 5'-ends of tRNAs by cleaving the 5'-leader elements of precursor-tRNAs.
Source: RNAcentral